UACGUAGGUGGCAAGCGUUGUCCGGAAUUAUUGGGCGUAAAGCGCGCGCAGGCGGUCCUUUAAGUCUGAUGUGAAAGCCCACGGCUCAACCGUGGAGGGUCAUUGGAAACUGGGGGACUUGAGUACAGAAGAGAAGAGUGGAAUUCCACGUGUAGCGGUGAGAUGCGUAGAGAUGUGGAGGAACACCAGUGGCGAAGGCGACUCUUUGGUCUGUAACUGACGCUGAGGCGCGAAAGCGUGGGGAGCGAACAGG
Molecule: ribosomal RNA, 253 nt
Filed under: uncultured bacterium
Lineage: Bacteria
Description: partial 16S ribosomal RNA
Rfam family: Bacterial small subunit ribosomal RNA
Source: RNAcentral